GGCCGGUUAGCUCAGUGGUUUGAGUGCAGUGCUGAGAACACUUGAGGGCGGGUUCGAUUCCCACUCGGUCC
Molecule: transfer RNA, 71 nt
Filed under: Apaloderma vittatum (bar-tailed trogon)
Lineage: Eukaryota; Metazoa; Chordata; Aves; Trogoniformes; Trogonidae
Rfam family: tRNA
About the family: Transfer RNA (tRNA) molecules are approximately 80 nucleotides in length.
Source: Rfam by way of RNAcentral